UAGUACUGGCAUAUGGACAUUGG
RNAcentral lists this microRNA (23 nucleotides) under Saccoglossus kowalevskii. RNAcentral describes it as "Sko-Mir-2012_5p (mature (guide))". The record is from RNAcentral. Lineage: Eukaryota; Metazoa; Hemichordata; Enteropneusta; Harrimaniidae.